This 2928-nucleotide ribosomal RNA is filed under the name Brenneria goodwinii. RNAcentral's name for it is "LSU rRNA". It matches the Rfam family "Bacterial large subunit ribosomal RNA". Lineage: Bacteria; Pseudomonadati; Pseudomonadota; Gammaproteobacteria; Enterobacterales; Pectobacteriaceae. The record is from RNAcentral.
GGUUAAGCGACUAAGCGUACACGGUGGAUGCCUAGGCAGUCAGAGGCGAUGAAGGGCGUGCUAAUCUGCGAUAAGCGUCGGUAAGGUGAUAUGAACCGUUAUAGCCGACGAUACCCGAAUGGGGAAACCCAGUGUGUUUCGACACAUUAUCAUCACAUGAAUACAUAGUGUGAUGAGGCGAACCGGGGGAACUGAAACAUCUCAGUACCCCGAGGAAAAGAAAUCAACCGAGAUUCCCCCAGUAGCGGCGAGCGAACGGGGAGGAGCCCAGAGUCUGCAUCAGCUUGUGUGUCAGUGGAAGCGUCUGGAAAGUCGCACAACAAAGGGUGAAAGUCCCGUACACGAAGAUGCACAAGUUGUGAGCUCGAUGAGUAGGGCGGGACACGAGAUAUCCUGUCUGAAGAUGGGGGGACCAUCCUCCAAGGCUAAAUACUCCUGACUGACCGAUAGUGAACCAGUACCGUGAGGGAAAGGCGAAAAGAACCCCGGCGAGGGGAGUGAAAUAGAACCUGAAACCGUGUACGUACAAGCAGUGGGAGCCUUGAUUAAUCAGGGUGACUGCGUACCUUUUGUAUAAUGGGUCAGCGACUUAUAUUCUGUAGCAAGGUUAACCGAAUAGGGGAGCCGCAGGGAAACCGAGUCUUAACUGGGCGUUAAGUUGCAGGGUAUAGACCCGAAACCCGGUGAUCUAGCCAUGGGCAGGUUGAAGGUUGGGUAACACUAACUGGAGGACCGAACCGACUAAUGUUGAAAAAUUAGCGGAUGACUUGUGGCUGGGGGUGAAAGGCCAAUCAAACCGGGAGAUAGCUGGUUCUCCCCGAAAGCUAUUUAGGUAGCGCCUCGUGAAUUCAUCUUCGGGGGUAGAGCACUGUUUCGACUAGGGGGUCAUCCCGACUUACCAACUCGAUGCAAACUGCGAAUACCGAAGAAUGUUAUCACGGGAGACACACGGCGGGUGCUAACGUCCGUCGUGAAGAGGGAAACAACCCAGACCGCCAGCUAAGGUCCCAAAGUCAUGGUUAAGUGGGAAACGAUGUGGGAAGGCCCAGACAGCCAGGAUGUUGGCUUAGAAGCAGCCAUCAUUUAAAGAAAGCGUAAUAGCUCACUGGUCGAGUCGGCCUGCGCGGAAGAUGUAACGGGGCUAAACCAUGCACCGAAGCUGCGGCAGCGACACUAUGUGUUGUUGGGUAGGGGAGCGUUCUGUAAGCCGUUGAAGGUGGCCUGUGAGGGUUGCUGGAGGUAUCAGAAGUGCGAAUGCUGACAUAAGUAACGAUAAUGCGGGUGAAAAACCCGCACGCCGGAAGACCAAGGGUUCCUGUCCAACGUUAAUCGGGGCAGGGUGAGUCGACCCCUAAGGCGAGGCCGAAAGGCGUAGUCGAUGGGAAACAGGUUAAUAUUCCUGUACUGGUUGUUACUGCGAAGGGGGGACGGAGAAAGCUAGGUUGGCCGGGCGACGGUUGUCCCGGUUUAAGCGUGCAGGUGGGUGUUUUUGGUAAAUCCGGAACACUGUUAACACUGAGGCGUGAUGACGAGUCACUACGGUGAUGAAGUAACCGAUGCUACGCUUCCAGGAAAAGCCUCUAAGCUCUAGGUAACAAUCAAUCGUACCCCAAACCGACACAGGUGGUCAGGUAGAGAAUACUCAGGCGCUUGAGAGAACUCGGGUGAAGGAACUAGGCAAAAUGGUGCCGUAACUUCGGGAGAAGGCACGCUGGAUUUGGUGAAGUCCCUUGCGGAUGGAGCUGAGACCAGUCGCAGAUACCAGCUGGCUGCAACUGUUUAAUAAAAACACAGCACUGUGCAAACACGAAAGUGGACGUAUACGGUGUGACGCCUGCCCGGUGCCGGAAGGUUAAUUGAUGGGGUAAGCUUUCGGGCGAAGCUCUUGAUCGAAGCCCCGGUAAACGGCGGCCGUAACUAUAACGGUCCUAAGGUAGCGAAAUUCCUUGUCGGGUAAGUUCCGACCUGCACGAAUGGCGUAAUGAUGGCCAGGCUGUCUCCACCCGAGACUCAGUGAAAUUGAACUCGCUGUGAAGAUGCAGUGUACCCGCGGCAAGACGGAAAGACCCCGUGAACCUUUACUAUAGCUUGACACUGAACCUUGAGCCUUGAUGUGUAGGAUAGGUGGGAGGCUUUGAAGCGUGGACGCCAGUCUGCGUGGAGCCAACCUUGAAAUACCACCCUUUAAUGUUUGAUGUUCUAACGUGGGCCCCUGAGCGGGGUUGCGGACAGUGUCUGGUGGGUAGUUUGACUGGGGCGGUCUCCUCCCAAAGAGUAACGGAGGAGCACGAAGGUUAGCUAAUCCUGGUCGGACAUCAGGAGGUUAGUGCAAAGGCAUAAGCUAGCUUGACUGCGAGAGUGACGGCUCGAGCAGGUGCGAAAGCAGGUCUUAGUGAUCCGGUGGUUCUGCAUGGAAGGGCCAUCGCUCAACGGAUAAAAGGUACUCCGGGGAUAACAGGCUGAUACCGCCCAAGAGUUCAUAUCGACGGCGGUGUUUGGCACCUCGAUGUCGGCUCAUCACAUCCUGGGGCUGAAGUAGGUCCCAAGGGUAUGGCUGUUCGCCAUUUAAAGUGGUACGCGAGCUGGGUUUAGAACGUCGUGAGACAGUUCGGUCCCUAUCUGCCGUGGGCGUUGGAAGAUUGAGAGGGGUUGCUCCUAGUACGAGAGGACCGGAGUGAACGCACCACUGGUGUACGGGUUGUGAUGCCAAUUGCAUUGCCCGGUAGCUAAGUGCGGAAGAGAUAACCGCUGAAAGCAUCUAAGCGGGAAACUUGCCUCGAGAUGAGUCUUCCCUGGGACUUUGAGUCCCCUAAAGGGCCGUUGAAGACGACGACGUAGAUAGGCCGGGUGUGUAAGCGCAGCGAUGCGUUGAGCUAACCGGUACUAAUGACCCGAGAGGCUUAACCUUACAACACCGAAGGUGUUUUA